AUCGGACUCGGGGAAGAGUCCCCGUCCCACGCCAACAGCGCGGGGCAGGGCACCGAAGGGGCAAGCCGUUGGCGUGUGCAACGCGCGGCGAAUCUCUCAGGUCUCCAAGACCCCGGGUCUCUC
This 123-nucleotide non-coding RNA is filed under the name Chloroflexota bacterium. Its description in RNAcentral is "Chloroflexi bacterium Glycine sequence". It matches the Rfam family "Glycine riboswitch aptamer". From Rfam's summary of the family: This family represents the bacterial glycine riboswitch. Glycine riboswitches usually consist of two metabolite-binding aptamers domains with similar structures in tandem. The record is from RNAcentral. Lineage: Bacteria; Bacillati; Chloroflexota.